This 447-nucleotide ribosomal RNA is filed under the name uncultured bacterium. RNAcentral describes it as "bacterial SSU rRNA". It matches the Rfam family "Bacterial small subunit ribosomal RNA", at positions 331 to 793 of the family's 1533-position model. The record is from RNAcentral.
CCAGACUCCUACGGGAGGCAGCAGUGGGGAAUAUUGCACAAUGGGGGAAACCCUGAUGCAGCGACGCCGCGUGAGUGAAGAAGUAUUUCGGUAUGUAAGGCUCUAUCAGCAGGGAAGAAAAUGACGGUACCUGACUAAGAAGCCCCGGCUAACUACGUGCCAGCAGCCGCGGUAAUACGUAGGGGGCAAGCGUUAUCCGGAUUUACUGGGUGUAAAGGGAGCGUAGACGGCAUGGCAAGUCAGAUGUGAAAGCCCGGGGCUCAACCCCGGGACUGCAUUUGGAACUGUGUGGCUGGAGUGUCGGAGAGGCAGGCGGAAUUCCUAGUGUAGCGGUGAAAUGCGUAGAUAUUAGGAGGAACACCAGUGGCGAAGGCGGCCUGCUGGACGACAACUGACGGUGAGGCGCGAAAGCGUGGGGAGCAAACAGGAUUAGAUACCCGCGUAACG